This 62-nucleotide transfer RNA is filed under the name Ictidomys tridecemlineatus (thirteen-lined ground squirrel). RNAcentral's name for it is "Spermophilus tridecemlineatus (thirteen-lined ground squirrel) tRNA". It matches the Rfam family "tRNA", at positions 5 to 66 of the family's 71-position model. Rfam says of the family: Transfer RNA (tRNA) molecules are approximately 80 nucleotides in length. Their secondary structure includes four short double-helical elements and three loops (D, anti-codon, and T loops). Lineage: Eukaryota; Metazoa; Chordata; Mammalia; Rodentia; Sciuridae. The record is from Rfam by way of RNAcentral.
AUGAAGCUUAGUGGUAGAGUGCUUGCCUAGCAUGUAUGAGCCCUGGGUUCAAUCCCUAGCAU